GUACUCACUUUGGCAGGACAUAUGGAACAAUAUAGAGAAGAUUAGCAUGGCCCCUGUGCAAGGAUGACAUACAAAUUUGUGAAGUGUUUCAUAUUUUU
Molecule: small nuclear RNA, 98 nt
Filed under: Jaculus jaculus (lesser Egyptian jerboa)
Lineage: Eukaryota; Metazoa; Chordata; Mammalia; Rodentia; Dipodidae
Source: RNAcentral